This is a non-coding RNA of Stereum hirsutum FP-91666 SS1, 101 nucleotides long. Lineage: Eukaryota; Fungi; Basidiomycota; Agaricomycetes; Russulales; Stereaceae. The record is from the annotation of a RefSeq genome assembly.
GACUCGGUGGCGAAACGGCAUCGCACCUGCGUAAUAUGUUACUAUAUCUGCAAUGACACGUUCUCGCAGGAGGGUUCCCAGUUCGAGUCUGGGCCGGGUCA